This 756-nucleotide ribosomal RNA is filed under the name uncultured bacterium. RNAcentral describes it as "bacterial SSU rRNA". It matches the Rfam family "Bacterial small subunit ribosomal RNA", at positions 8 to 796 of the family's 1533-position model. The record is from RNAcentral.
AGAGUUUGAUCCUGGCUCAGAAUCAACGCUGGCGGCGUGCCUAACACAUGCAAGUCGAACGAGAAAGUGGAGCAAUCCAUGAGUAAAGUGGCGACCGGGUGAGUAACACGUGACUAACCUACCCUCGAGUGUGGAAUAACAUCGGGAAACCGAUGCUAAUACCGCAUAACAUCGCAAGAUCAAAGGAGCAAUCCGCUUGAGGAGGGGGUCGCGGCUGAUUAGCUAGUUGGCGGGGUAACGGCCCACCAAGGCGAAGAUCGGUAGCCGGCCUGAGAGGGCGCACGGCCACACUGGAACUGAAACACGGUCCAGACUCCUACGGGAGGCAGCAGUGGGGAAUUUUGCGCAAUGGGGGAAACCCUGACGCAGCAACGCCGCGUGGAGGAUGAAGCCCCUUGGGGCGUAAACUCCUUUCGACCAAGACGAUAAUGACGGUACUGGUGGAAGAAGCACCGGCUAACUCUGUGCCAGCAGCCGCGGUAAUACAGAGGGUGCAAGCGUUGUUCGGAAUUAUUGGGCGUAAAGGGUGCGUAGGCGGCGCGGUAAGUCACCUGUGAAAUCUCCAAGCUUAACUUGGAGCCUGCAGGCGAAACUGCCGUGCUGGAGUAUGGGAGAGGUGCGUGGAAUUCCCGGUGUAGCGGUGAAAUGCGUAGAUAUCAGGAGGAACACCUGUGGCGAAAGCGGCGCACUGGACCAUAACUGACGCUGAUGCACGAAAGCUAGGGGAGCAAACAGGAUUAGAUACCCUAGUAGUCC